RNAcentral lists this small RNA (251 nucleotides) under Klebsiella pneumoniae. Its description in RNAcentral is "STnc150". Lineage: Bacteria; Pseudomonadati; Pseudomonadota; Gammaproteobacteria; Enterobacterales; Enterobacteriaceae. The record is from RNAcentral.
CUUUCCAUGAACAAAGAUCGCUUUCCGAGCGGUUAUAUAAAGCCCAAGGUAUAAACACGAAAGAUUUACUUGGACAUAAAACUCAACAACAAACGGAUAGGUACCAUGAUGAUCGUGGGAAGGGGUGGACAACGGUGGCCUUAUGAGGUUUUUCGGGAGGGGUUUUGAUAACUUGUUUUGAUAAAAUUUUGAUAACCGUUCGAAAACUAAUAAUAAAAACGGGAACCACCAGGUUCCCGUUCUGACAUAAU